This 73-nucleotide transfer RNA is filed under the name Ixodes scapularis (black-legged tick). It matches the Rfam family "tRNA". Rfam says of the family: Transfer RNA (tRNA) molecules are approximately 80 nucleotides in length. Lineage: Eukaryota; Metazoa; Arthropoda; Arachnida; Ixodida; Ixodidae. The record is from Rfam by way of RNAcentral.
UCCUCGUUAACUCUGUCGGUAGAGCUCUCCACUUAAAAUGGAGAGGUCCCUGGUUUCAUACUAGGGCCAGGAG